CCGGGCGAGGGGGUGACUCCCGAGCGGCUUCCUCAGUGGAGCGGGCAGGGCUCGGUGCCAGCGGGCUCCGCCGACCACUGAGGCUCGUUGGAGACGUCGAGGCAGGUCCUGUGCGUGUCCUGUAAGGUCCCCCGGGCCCCUGAGGGGACGACGACGGCGGCCAGGUGCCCAUACUGGUGAGAGGGAGUGUGUCUCCAGGAAACAGAGGUGUUAAUGUGGCUGGAGCUUCAAGAGUUUGAGCUCGUUGUGUUUACGAUGCCAGGGGAAGGCAGCACCGUCAGAUGCGGAGAGAUGGACUAGGAGCAGAACUUACCAACCCAAGAUUUCCGUCUUUUUCUUUCUUUAAAUGCUUAGACACGUCUGGAAGGAGAGGAAUGUGCCAUAACAACUUUUGUGCCUCUAUCACUCAGCCAGUACCUGGGACAAAACAUAGGCAAAGUAAACCUCGUUGAAGGAUCAGCUACAUCAUUUACAGAGCCCAUGUUAAUGUGGGGCCCCAUGUGAAUCCACAGGUUGGUUGAAGAACUGUGAAACUGAACUUGCCCUUAUAUCUCA
Molecule: long non-coding RNA, 555 nt
Organism: Canis lupus familiaris (dog)
Lineage: Eukaryota; Metazoa; Chordata; Mammalia; Carnivora; Canidae
Exons: 4
Source: RefSeq, a predicted model, not a curated record